Paramuricea clavata is the source of this 1296-nucleotide non-coding RNA. Lineage: Eukaryota; Metazoa; Cnidaria; Anthozoa; Malacalcyonacea; Plexauridae. The record is from the annotation of a GenBank genome assembly.
UGGAGUUAUCUGCUGCAGUCGUUGCCACGAGAUUAGAUCGAAUAAUCCGCUCUGAAUCAGAUCUUGAAAUCGAUCGAUCGUAUUUCUGGACCGACAGUACGUGUGUCUUGCGAUAUAUCCACAACGAAGCUACGAGAUUCCAAACGUUCAUUGCGAAUCGGAUCACGAAGAUAAGAGAGUUAUCUGAGCCCUCACAAUGGCGUUAUGUCGACACCCAGUCAAAUCCUGCUGAUGACGCCUCGAGAGGAGUGUCUGCAGAUUGCUUGGAACGUUGGAUACAUGGUCCAGACUUUCUUACACAGUCGAGCGAAACGUGGCCAAAGCAACCCGAUGAUCUUUGUAAUCUACCAGAAGAUCAACCUGAACUAAAGAAAGCUAUUGUAUGCGCAGCCGGAACCCCCAACCAUCUACUACUGCUACACCCUGGACCCUCUAUUCCACCUGGAAAGUUUUCGAGAAACGACAACUGUAGCGUGCGUCGUUGGCGGCAGGUGCAAUAUCUCGCUGACCUGUUCUGGCGACGUUGGCAUCGUGAGUAUUUGCCUUCUUUACAACAGAGACAAAAAUGGAACGAGUUGCGGAGAAACGUGGAAGUCAACGAUAUUGUUUUGGUGCUUGAUUAGAAAUCCCCUCGCAGUUCGUGGCCACUUGGUCGUGUUCUCGAAGUAUACACCAACAAGAAGGAUGGUUUAGUGCGAUCGGCGAAGAUCAAGACAUCCACGUCAGUUAUGGUUCGACCAAUAAGCAAGAUGAUCCUGCUGGAAGAAGCUCAUAACGAUAAGUAGAAACACUUUAAUUAGUAGAUUAUAAGCGCUCAAACCUUUAUACUGUGCAGUAUAUUUUUUUGUAAAGGUUAUCCCGUAGGUAACCUUUAAGGGGCCGGUAUGUUGGUUUGAAACGCUUACUUAAAAUUAGUUCAUUAUGUUUUAGUUAAUAAUAUAGUUAAUUUGAUUGAUACAAGGACGGAAACGGCUAUACCGUAUGUUCCUAAUAGACUAGAUAGCGUGAGUUAGUAAAGUUGUGACUGCGUCAGAGUAAGGACGUGUAAUUGCUACAAGCUAUUUAAACUGAAAGGGACAUUUCUACGUUUUUUUACGAAGAACUGCUAUUGAAUUCAUCGCUACUCGUUUGGUACAAGUGUAAACCAAAGUACGUAAGUUUUACAGUAUUGUAUGUGCUUGUUAGUUUUGUUAGUCAAUGACAUUUGUGUGUUAGUUUUCGCAUGCAUUAAGUAACAUAGUUAAGUAGUUUAUUUUAUUGUCAUGUUUCAGUUCGAACCUACAAUCUACAAUCUAU